This 493-nucleotide ribosomal RNA is filed under the name uncultured bacterium. Its description in RNAcentral is "partial 16S ribosomal RNA". It matches the Rfam family "Bacterial small subunit ribosomal RNA", at positions 29 to 523 of the family's 1533-position model. The record is from RNAcentral.
AUUGAACGCUGGCGGCAUGCUUUACACAUGCAAGUCGAACGGUAACAGGUUAAGCUGACGAGUGGCGAACGGGUGAGUAAUGCAUCGGAACGUGCCCGGUCGUGGGGGAUAACGCAGCGAAAGCUGCGCUAAUACCGCAUACGAUCUGAGGAUGAAAGCGGGGGACCGUAAGGCCUCGUGCGAUCGGAGCGGCCGAUGUCAGAUUAGGUAGUUGGUGGGGUAAAGGCUCACCAAGCCAACGAUCUGUAGCUGGUCUGAGAGGACGACCAGCCACACUGGGACUGAGACACGGCCCAGACUCCUACGGGAGGCAGCAGUGGGGAAUUUUGGACAAUGGGGGCAGCCCUGAUCCAGCCAUGCCGCGUGCGGGAAGAAGGCCUUCGGGUUGUAAACCGCUUUUGUCGGGGAAGAAACGGUCUGCGCUAAUACCGCGGACUAAUGACGGUACCCGAAGAAUAAGCACCGGCUAACUACGUGCCAGCCGCCGCCGUAA